ACGCUGGCGGCAGGCUUAACACAUGCAAGUCGAACGGUAACAUAAAGAAGCUUGCUUCUUUGAUGACGAGUGGCGGACGGGUGAGUAAUGCUUGGGAAUCUAGCUUAUGGAGGGGGAUAACUACGGGAAACUGUAGCUAAUACCGCGUAGUAUCGGAAGAUGAAAGUGUGGGACCUUCGGGCCACAUGCCAUAGGAUGAGCCCAAGUGGGAUUAGGUAGUUGGUGAGGUAAAGGCUCACCAAGCCGACGAUCUCUAGCUGGUCUGAGAGGAUGACCAGCCACACUGGGACUGAGACACGGCCCAGACUCCUACGGGAGGCAGCAGUGGGGAAUAUUGCGCAAUGGGGGCAACCCUGACGCAGCCAUGCCGCGUGAAUGAAGAAGGCCUUCGGGUUGUAAAGUUCUUUCGGUAGCGAGGAAGGCAUUUAGUUUAAUAGACUAGGUGAUUGACGUUAACUACAGAAGAAGCACCGGCUAACUCCGUGCCAGCAGCCGCGGUAAUACGGAGGGUGCGAGCGUUAAUCGGAAUAACUGGGCGUAAAGGGCACGCAGGCGGUGACUUAAGUGAGGUGUGAAAGCCCCGGGCUUAACCUGGGAAUUGCAUUUCAUACUGGGUCGCUAGAGUACUUUAGGGAGGGGUAGAAUUCCACGUGUAGCGGUGAAAUGCGUAGAGAUGUGGAGGAAUACCGAAGGCGAAGGCAGCCCCUUGGGAAUGUACUGACGCUCAUGUGCGAAAGCGUGGGGGAGCAACAGGAUUAGAUACCCUGGUAGUCCACGCUGUAAACGAUGUCGAUUUGGGGGUUGAGCUUUGAGCUUGGCCGCCCGUAGCUAACGUGAUAAAUUGACCGCCUGGGGAGUACGGCCGCAAGGUUAAAACUCAAAUGAAUUGACGGGGGCCCGCACAAGCGGU
RNAcentral lists this ribosomal RNA (910 nucleotides) under uncultured bacterium. RNAcentral's name for it is "bacterial SSU rRNA". It matches the Rfam family "Bacterial small subunit ribosomal RNA", at positions 33 to 933 of the family's 1533-position model. The record is from RNAcentral.